This 292-nucleotide ribosomal RNA is filed under the name uncultured bacterium. RNAcentral describes it as "partial 16S ribosomal RNA". It matches the Rfam family "Bacterial small subunit ribosomal RNA", at positions 505 to 796 of the family's 1533-position model. The record is from RNAcentral.
GUGCCAGCCGCCGCGGUAAUACGAAGGGGGCUAGCGUUGUUCGGAUUUACUGGGCGUAAAGCGCACGUAGGCGGAUUGUUAAGUCGGGGGUGAAAUCCUGGAGCUCAACUCCAGAAUUGCCUUCGAUACUGGCUUUCUAGAGGCUGGAAGAGGUUAGUGGAAUUCCCAGUGUAGAGGUGAAAUUCGUAGAUAUUGGGAAGAACACCAGUGGCGAAGGCGGCUAACUGGUCCAGAUCUGACGCUGAGGUGCGAAAGCGUGGGGAGCAAACAGGAUUAGAAACCCCCGUAGUCC